UUAAAUUAUUUAAAAUAAAAUUUGGUAAAAAAAUAUUGUUUGUAAACAGUAAAAAAAAGUUUACGAAAUAUAACUAAGGGCAAUUUUGGAAUAGACUAUAUUUUAUUGUCUAAAUUACUAAAUUUUAUAGCCAGAACCAAACAUAGUAAUGCUAUAAACACUACAAUCUAGUAUUACACUACUGUAUUAAACCAAACGCACUAAUGCACCAUCAGUAGUAAUCUUAUUUAGAAAUUCAAGAUACCUGGAUAUAUCGAAAUACUUUGUAAUAUAACAUAAACUCGAACUCGAACCAAACGCGCCAUAAGGGUAAUUUUAGAAUUGAUUACACUUUGUUGUCUGAAUUACUGAAUUUUAUAAAUUGAACCGAAUAUAGUAAUAUUAUAUACACUGUAAUCCAAUAUUACAUUACUAUAUUAAACCAAACGCGCUAAUGCAAUGUCAAUAGUAAUUUCAUUCAAAAAUCUAAAUAUCUGGAUAUGUCGAAAUAAUCUGUAAUAUUACAUAACACGAACCAAACGCGCCCUAUGAACUUUCCUUUUGGUUUAUCAUAAUUUUAUUUUAUUGCCAUGUG
Molecule: long non-coding RNA, 574 nt
Filed under: Ananas comosus (pineapple)
Lineage: Eukaryota; Viridiplantae; Streptophyta; Magnoliopsida; Poales; Bromeliaceae
Description: long non-coding RNA (ACOM_LNC001601)
Source: RNAcentral